Molecule: long non-coding RNA, 4862 nt
Organism: Mizuhopecten yessoensis (Yesso scallop)
Lineage: Eukaryota; Metazoa; Mollusca; Bivalvia; Pectinida; Pectinidae
Exons: 2
Source: RefSeq, a predicted model, not a curated record
UUAGUGAAAACAAAAUUACAAUGUUGACUAGUGAAAACAAAAUUACAAUGUUGACUAGCUAAAUUGUUGACAAAAUUACAGUGUUGACAAGCUAAAUUGUUGACAAAAUUACAGUGUUGACUAGCUAAAUUGUUGACAAAAUUACAGUGUUAACUAGCUAAAUUGUUGACAAAAUCAGUGUUGAUUAGUGAAAACAAAAUCACAGUGUUGACUUAGUGAAAACAAAAUUACAAUGUUGACUAGUGAAAACAAAAUUACAAUGUUGACUAGCUAAAUUGUUGACAAAAUUACAGUGUUGACUAGCUAAAUUGUUGACAAAAUUACAGUGUUGACUAGCUAAAUUGUUGACAAAAUUACAGUGUUGACUAGCUAAAUUGUUGACAAAAUUAGUGUUGACUAGCUAAAUUGUUGACAAAAUUACAGUGUUGACUAGCUAAAUUGUUGACAAAAUUACAGUGUUGACUAGCUAAAUUGUUGACAAAAUUACAGUGUUGACUAGCUAAAUUGUUGACAAAAUUACAGUGUUGACUAGCUAAAUUGUUGACAAAAUUACAGUGUUGACUAGCUAAAUUGUUGACAAAAUUACAGUGUUGACUAGCUAAAUUGUUGACAAAAUUACAGUGUUAACUAGCUAAAUUGUUGACAAAAUUACAAUGUUGACAAGCUAAAUUGUUGACAAAAUUUCAAUGUUGACUAGUGAAAACAAAAUCACAGUGUUGACUAGUGAAAACAAAAUUACAUGUUGAUUGUUGGCAAAGUUUAAGACUUGUUUGAGUGCCUUCUUUACAUCCAUCCCAGACUCCAGAAAAAUGACGGGGAACUCUGCAAUAUAAUUAAUCACAGUUUAUGUCUGUAAUAUUUUACAAUGACAUGUCAUGUGUUGUGUAGUCAUGUGCAAUACUUUCAUUUAUACGUUUAUCAGUUUCUAAUUAUGUUUCAAUUUCUCAUUAUUGAAUAAUUCUUGAAACAUGAUGACUAUCCCCGAUAUAUAUAAAGGGUAAUUUGUUAUCAUGUUAUUCAUCACAUAUACUAUAUACUCAUUGAUACUAUACGUAUGUACAUUAUCACUAUUUGUCAUAACAAACUAUCAUUACAAGAUUGUAACAUUAAAUCAUUCACCCCUUCAUCUUUAAACUGGACUUACCCAGUUUUUGAUUUGGUAAGGUUCAAAUGUAACUUUAGAGGUGAAUUGGUUCAUAUUCUCUGUCAUUCUCUUCAAUAAGGUACAAGCAAGUGAGGGAGGGGUGAUAACUGUAUUGUGGGCAUUCACUACAGUAAAUCAAGGCCACCCUGGGGGGUCCAAAUAGUGUGACUGUCCACAGCAUUAUAAUUCGUUGUAAUAUACAUAGCAAAUCUAUGUAAGAUUAUAAAUGAGGGGUACUUUUUGUAUUACAGGAAUUCAUUGUGUUAAAAAUGAGAUGGCUCAAUGAGUAAGUUAGCAUGUUAUGUAACAGUUUUGUAUGCACGGUGUAUUUGACACUCCAGAUUUUGAUAUACACAAAUGAGUAAUACAAACUGAACUAAACCUUGCAAUAAACUGCUCUUAAACUAUUUAAUUAACCUUAAAUAGUAAUAACCUGAAAUAAGUUGACCUAUACAUGGAGUAAACUUCUCAACAUCACUUUUUAAGUAACGUUUUAUAAAGCAUGCAGAUUUAGACAAUAUUUUAUGUCUAUUGAUAAUUUGGAACAACUUAGGAUUUCAUUUGUUAAUAAAUAUGAUUGAAGAGGUUUAAAUUAAAUGAUAUGUAAAAUAAUUUGGUGAUAUUAAUCCAUAACUAUAAUUUCAAUAAGAAGAAAGACAGAUAUUGAGAAGUACAUAAUCUAAUUAAUCAAAGAGUGGAAACAGAAAGUAGGAAGGAAAAAUAAACAGGUGACGUGUCUUACAACGAAGAAGUUCUAAAAUACAGUACAUAUCACUUUUUAUGGACAGUACAAUAAAAAGUAAUCUUUUUAUAUCUUUAAUAUUAUUCUUCCAUUUAUAAUGAUAUAGAUUACAAUGUACAUGUGUUUGUGUUCAUUUGUACAUUUGUAUUGCAAUGCUGCAAUACCGACUUCUGCUAUUAUCUAGCUAUGUAUUUCAAUAGCAUUUCUCUCUUUUAGGAGUGUUAAUUUACAGACAUAAACAUUGAAAAUGUAUUGGUCGAUAAAGAAGCAUUGUAAUAACAUACGCAGUUGUUUGUUAACCUGUUAACCCCUAAAAUUUCAUAAUGAACUAUUCCAACCUUUGAAUUGGAGCAGUUCAAAUGUGUCUUCAGGGGUGAAUAAGUUCAAAGAAAUCAAUAAUGUAGAUCCAUUUUUUGUCUAGAUUAAUUUUGUUACUUUACACUGCAAGCACAUUGUUAUUGGUUGUGUUGUAAGAAUAUUUUUGCCAUGGACUUAGAUCGUGAAAUAUAAUGUAGGUAUACAUUUUGCUUUUCAAAAUAUACAAUCAUCAGAAAUAUUGUUGGGCAUUUGUUUGUACAUUCUGAACCUGUUUUAUGGUAAAAGCUUUAUUUGAGUUUUCCUAUCUACUGCAGACUUAGAUUUUGAAGCCUGAUGAAUAUCCCUGAGAAUGUCUGUUUUAGACAGUCUAGUUCUAGAGCUACUUACCAUCACCUGACUUUGUCAUGGAAUUCUAAAUUGACUAAAUAACAUGAAGAUUGUGAGUUUUCAAGAUGUCCAAUCCCACACCUACUCUCCUCGAUGUUUUCAAAUCUCCGAGGGGGGAGACCAUCAUCUGUGCAACAACCGGGAGGUCUGUUCCAUAGUGGUGAUAUAUAGUAUUAUUCAACAGCCCACAUUCAUAGUAACAAAGAAGUACAAAUAAAAAGAAUGAGCAACAACAGUUUUGAACACAAUCAAGGUGUUGUUUCUCAUCCUUUCUAUUUGUCUCCUUGUAUUGUAUGUCACGUGUUCAGGGUGCCUUAUCCUAGGCAAAUACACUCUGAGCGUGUGGGCUUUUGGACUGCCUACUACCAGGCUAUUCCAUGGAUUGUAAGUGGGCAGGGUAUCUUCUUUUAGGCUAAUGAAAUAUCUGGGCUUGCAGGAUUUUGUACAGCAUAAUACCAGGCUAUUCCAUGGAUUGCAAGUUUGCAGGCUGUCUUAUCCUAGACUUAUAGUUGAGCUUGUUGGCUUUUCGACUAUCUAAUACCAGGCUAUUCCAUGGAUGUCAGGUUUCAUGCUGUCUUAUCCUAGACUAAUAGUCUCUGGGCUUGUUGGCUUUUGACUGUCUAAUACCAGGCUAUUCAAGAGAAUGUAAGGUGUCAUGCUGUCUUAUCCUAGACUUAUAGUCUCUGGGCUUGUUGGCUUUUCGACUGUCUAAUUCCAGGCUAUUCCAGGGAUUGUAAGGUUUCCGGCUGUCUUAUCCUAGACUUAUAGUCUCUGGGCUUGUUGGCUUUUGGACUGUCUAAUUCCAGGCUAUUCCAGGGAUUGUAAGGUUUCAGGCUGUCUUAUCCUAGACUUAUAGUCUCUGGGCUUGUUGGCUUUUGGACUGUCUAAUUCCAGGCUAUUCCAGGGAGUGUAAGGUUUCAGGCUGUCUGUUGAAGUACUAGAAAGGUCUACAGUAGAACCUUAGUUUUGAUGUUGUGGUAAGACUGACCAUGAAUUUUGUUCAGGACAUCAUACUCAAUAUAUUGUUGACUUUUUCUGUGAAGAAUACAGAAACAAAUUUGAUACAUCAUUUGUUUAAUUAGAUUUAUGUAAAUCAGUACAAUUGUAUCCGUUAGAUAUUUUGCAAGAAAUCAUCAUUUAGACAGUCAGUACAAUUAUAUUUGUUAGGAUACUUUUUUUUCAAGAAAUCAUCAUUUAGACAGUCAGUACAAUUGUAUUUUUUAGAUACUUUUUUUCAAGAAAUCAUCAUUUAGACAGUCAGUACAAUUAUAUUUGUUAGAUACUUUUUUUCAAGAAAUCAUCAUUUAGACAGUCAGUACAGUUAUAUUUCUUAGAUACUUUUUUUCAAGAAAUUCUCAUUUAAACAGCUGCAAGUUCAAAUAAGAAUUUUUAAAAAAAAUUUUACUUCAUGUAACUUAUCUGUUUUUGAGUAGUCAAAUAUUCUCUUUAAAUUUUCUGUAUCAUGAAACAAUUUAGAAGACAAUGUAAUAAAAUAAAGUCAGAAUUAAAUGUCAUGGUAUGACAUGAUGAGGUUGCGUGUAACAAAAUAUUUCUUUCCCCAGUUCUUCAUUACUUUGUUUGCUUACCGGUAAUGAGAAGCUAAUGUCAAACUUUCAUCUUGUUUGAUUCAAAAAUAGUGACACUUAUAAUAAAAUUAAAUAAAUAGAGAUUCAACAUCCUCUUUGAGGUAAUGCUAUCCAAAAAAAUGUAGGUAAUGUUUUACCAAUGUCACAAAAAAACACUUCGAAAAAUUGAAGAAAGGACUUGUUAACUCAUUCAGUCAUGAAACUUCAUAAUGAACAAUUUCAACCAAUGAAUUGGAAGAGUUUAAAUGUGUCUUCAGGGGUGAAAAACUGAACCCUGAAUCUUUCUCGAAUGCCACGGGAGUUCUACUUGUUUUCAUUUGAUAAUUUAUGUUUAUAUGUUGGAUCUGUUUUUAUGUAACUCGAAACCUAAUUAUUGUUCACAUUUUGAAAACUUGAUUUAUUAUUGUACAAGAAAUUAUGAAAUAAUAUUAUUUACUUCACUUUACUUACAAGUGUGUUCCAUGAGUUCACUGUCACCAAUCUCUCUAGUCGUUUAGUAUACAAUCUAGUCAGUGUGUAUUAUACACACACCCCAUGUACUUCCCUGUAAAAUGAACACCUUCCUUCACAUUACUGGAGUAUAUAUAUAUAUAUAGUAUUAUAGAUCGACUGUAUAUCUGUUAUUAUAAGUGGUGUAUAUUUUCUCUAUUUUUGUGGUUAUGUGUAAUAAACUUAUUACAUGGUG